GAAGGGGCGUGGUCGUGCGGCGUUUUCCGCGUUCAGAGGCUCUCGUUCUCGCUCGUUUAAUUCGUUCCUAAGAUGCAGUCUGAUCCCUCGAGGGCAGACUAGUGGCUGCGCUUGCGUCACAGUCCGCUUGCCCUGGAAACGGAUGGAGCCUCGGCGUCUACCCCUGUUGGAAUAACCACCCUGGAAAGCAGUGGCCGAAGUAACUAUAGCUCUGUGGGGAUUCCCUAACUUUUCGCCCUGAAAACACUGCUCGACUCUGGGAAUCCAAAGACGAAUGAGGCACACACUUCCUGCCUUCAACCUGCUGACAGUUCUUUAGGGCCAGUGUAUAGCAUGCGCAAGACAGUGUAUUAGAAUUCUGCUAGGGGCCACAAAUCAAAUUUCCGAAGGAGCCAGCCAGUUAUUUAAGUGAAUAGAAAAGUGCAGGAUCCAAUCCAGCUGUGUCAAGGUUCCCCGAGGCCACCCCCAAGUUUAAUGAUUUGCCAGGACUCAGGAAUCAGCAUUUGGUCAUCCUCAUGACUAUGAUUUAUUACAAUGAAAGGCUACAAAACAAAAUCAGCAAAGAGAAAUGGUACCUGGGAUUUAUUUAUUUGAGAGAGAAAGAGAGAGAGAGCGAGUGCAGGGCCGGUCAGAGGGAGCGAGAGAGAAUCCUGAAGCAGGCUCCCCACUGAUCAUGGAACCUGAUGCAGGGCUCCAUCGCAGGACCCCCAAGAUCACCACCCAAGCUGAAACCAAGAGUCGGACGCUUUAACCAAGUGAGCCACCCAGGGCUGCGCCUUAAAGAGCCAGAGUGGGAUGCUGACCUUUGGUAACCAGUCCGAGAUGUACCACACUGGGGGUUCCUGGACGCACCAGCCUCUAGCUGGUUUCACGGCCAUGAAAACACAACUAGGUAUAUUUUAAAAACAAGAGAUGCAGAAUGCAGAGGGUUAACAUAGAAGUUGGUUCUCAGUGCAGUCUAAGGAACUCUGGGGUGCAUGAGACUCUUCAAGGAGUCUGAGAGAUCAAAAUCAUGCACCUAGUAAAAGAAACCCUCGGAGGGCAAUAAAUAGCGCAAUGGAUUUUAACGUAACAGAGGAUGAAAAGACCAUUGAUUUCAGAUAACUCAUUGUAGCUAAUCUUUGAGAAACUUUAUCACUUGUUGAAUAUUGGUAUUGUAUCAGAGAAGAAUAUCUUCAGUUAUCUGUAAAGCUUUUAAAAUACUUCUUCCUUUUCUAACUACAUAUCUGCAUAUGGCCAUAUUUUCUUCAUAUACUUGACCAAAACCACAUACUAAAAGUAGAAAUGCAUAUUAGCAUACAGCUGACUUCUAUUAAGCUGGGUAGUAAAGAAACUUGUGAAAAUGAAAGUGAUAUUCUUUACACUAAAUUUAUUUAACUUGGAAAAUACAUUUAGUUUUGAUAAA
This is a long non-coding RNA of Mirounga angustirostris (Northern elephant seal), 1405 nucleotides long. RefSeq lists it as uncharacterized. The record is from RefSeq and is a predicted model, not a curated record. Lineage: Eukaryota; Metazoa; Chordata; Mammalia; Carnivora; Phocidae. The transcript has 4 exons.